Molecule: non-coding RNA, 73 nt
Organism: Geosiphon pyriformis
Lineage: Eukaryota; Fungi; Glomeromycota; Glomeromycetes; Archaeosporales; Geosiphonaceae
Source: the annotation of a GenBank genome assembly
GCCCGAUUAACUCAGUCGGUAGAGUGACAGGCUCUUAACCUGCUAGUCGCGGGUUCGAGCCCCGCAUCGGGCU